GUGGGGAAUCUUGCGCAAUGGGCGAAAGCCUGACGCAGCGACGCCGCGUGGGGGAUGAAUGCCUUCGGGUUGUAAACCCCUUUCGGCAGGGACGAAGCGAACGUGACGGUACCUGCAGAAGAAGUCCCGGCUAACUACGUGCCAGCAGCCGCGGUAAGACGUAGGGGACGAGCGUUGUCCGGAUUUAUUGGGCGUAAAGAGCGCGUAGGCGGCUUGGUAAGUCGGAUGUGAAAUCCCGGGGCUCAACCCCGUGACUGCACCCGAAACUGCCCGGCUAGAGGUAGGUAGGGGAGAUCGGAAUUCCUGGUGUAGCGGUGAAAUGCGCAGAUAUCAGGAGGAACACCGGUGGCGAAGGCGGAUCUCUGGGCCUUACCUGACGCUCAGGCGCGAAAGCUAGGGGAGCAAACAGGAUUAGAUACCCCAGUAGUCC
RNAcentral lists this ribosomal RNA (430 nucleotides) under uncultured bacterium. RNAcentral describes it as "bacterial SSU rRNA". It matches the Rfam family "Bacterial small subunit ribosomal RNA", at positions 354 to 796 of the family's 1533-position model. The record is from RNAcentral.